UACGGGAGGCAGCAGUAGGGAAUAUUGGACAAUGGGCGAAAGCCUGAUCCAGCAAUGCCGCGUGUGUGAAGAAGGCCUGAGGGUUGUAAAGCACUUUCAGUUGGGAAGAAAAGCUUUAGGAUAAUACUCUAAAGUCUUGACGUUACCAACAGAAGAAGCACCGGCUAACUCUGUGCCAGCAGCCGCGGUAAUACAGAGGGUGCGAGCGUUAAUCGGAAUUACUGGGCGUAAAGCGUGCGUAGGCGGUUAAGUCAGUCGGAUGUGAAAGCCCAAGGCUUAACCUUGGAACUGCAUUCGAUACUGCUUAGCUAGAGUACAGUAGAGGGAAGCGGAAUUCCUAGUGUAGCGGUGAAAUGCGUAGAUAUUAGGAAGAACACCAGUGGCGAAGGCGGCUUCCUGGACUGAUACUGACGCUGAUGUACGAAAGCGUGGGGAGCAAACAGGAUUAGAUACCCUGGUAGUCCACGCCCUAAACGAUGAGAACUAGAUGUUGGGGGAAAUUAAUCCCUUAGUAUCGCAGCUAACGCGAUAAGUUCUCCGCCUGGGGAGUACGACCGCAAGGUUAAAACUCAAAUGAAUUGACGGGGGCCCGCACAAGCGGUGGAGCAUGUGGUUUAAUU
Molecule: ribosomal RNA, 620 nt
Filed under: Thioploca araucae
Lineage: Bacteria; Pseudomonadati; Pseudomonadota; Gammaproteobacteria; Thiotrichales; Thiotrichaceae
Description: bacterial SSU rRNA
Rfam family: Bacterial small subunit ribosomal RNA
Source: RNAcentral